GAUGAACGCUGGCGGCGUGCCUAAUACAUGCAAGUCGAGCGAACAGAUAAGGAGCUUGCUCCUUUGACGUUAGCGGCGGACGGGUGAGUAACACGUGGGUAACCUACCUAUAAGACUGGAAUAACUCCGGGAAACCGGGGCUAAUGCCGGAUAACAUUUAGAACCGCAUGGUUCUAAAGUGAAAGAUGGUUUUGCUAUCACUUAUAGAUGGACCCGCGCCGUAUUAGCUAGUUGGUAAGGUAACGGCUUACCAAGGCAACGAUACGUAGCCGACCUGAGAGGGUGAUCGGCCACACUGGAACUGAGACACAGUCCAGACUCCUACGGGAGGCAGCAGUAGGGAAUCUUCCGCAAUGGGCGAAAGCCUGACGGAGCAACGCCGCGUGAGUGAUGAAGGUCUUCGGAUCGUAAAACUCUGUUAUUAGGGAAGAACAAAUGUGUAAGUAACUGUGCACGUCUUGACGGUACCUAAUCAGAAAGCCACGGCUAACUACGUG
Molecule: ribosomal RNA, 497 nt
Filed under: uncultured bacterium
Lineage: Bacteria
Description: partial 16S ribosomal RNA
Rfam family: Bacterial small subunit ribosomal RNA
Source: RNAcentral